RNAcentral lists this ribosomal RNA (320 nucleotides) under uncultured eukaryote. RNAcentral describes it as "partial 18S ribosomal RNA". It matches the Rfam family "Eukaryotic small subunit ribosomal RNA", at positions 1470 to 1796 of the family's 1831-position model. The record is from RNAcentral.
CCCCUAGAUGUUCUGGGCCGCACGCGCGCUACACUGAACAGUUCAACAAGUCUUAACCUUGGCCGAUAGGUCUGGGUAAUCUUUGAACGCUGUUCGUGAUUGGGAUAGACCUUUGCAAUUAUGGGUCUUCAACGAGGAAUUCCUAGUAAACGCGAGUCAUCAGCUUGCAUUGAUUACGUCCCUGCCCUUUGUACACACCGCCCGUCGCACCUACCGAUUGAAUGGUCCGGUGAAAUCUCGGGACGGCGGCUUGGUCGCUUGCGUCCGACUGCUGAAACUUGAUUAAACCAUAUCAUUUAGAGGAAGGUGAAGUCGUAACA